This 254-nucleotide ribosomal RNA is filed under the name uncultured bacterium. RNAcentral's name for it is "partial 16S ribosomal RNA". It matches the Rfam family "Bacterial small subunit ribosomal RNA", at positions 524 to 776 of the family's 1533-position model. The record is from RNAcentral.
UACAGGGGGGUGCAAACGUUGCUCGGAAUCAUUGGGCGUAAAGCGCACGUAGGCGGUUCGUUAUGUCGGAUGUGAAAGCCCUUGGCUUAACCGAGGAAGUGCAUCCGAAACUGGCGAGCUAGAGUACUAAAGAGGAUCGCGGAAUUCCCGGUGUAGAGGUGAAAUUCGUAGAUAUCGGGAGGAACACCGGUGGCGAAGGCGGCGAUCUGGGUAGAUACUGACGCUGAGGUGCGAAAGCGUGGGGAGCAAACAGG